This is a long non-coding RNA of Marmota monax (woodchuck), 564 nucleotides long. RefSeq lists it as uncharacterized. The record is from RefSeq and is a predicted model, not a curated record. The transcript is spliced from 2 exons. NCBI's taxonomy places the organism in Eukaryota, Metazoa, Chordata, Mammalia, Rodentia, Sciuridae.
CGGACGGCCCCGGACGCGCAGGGGCUGCACUGCGCUCUUUGACCAGUAGAAAAAGGCUCUGCGGCAGAAGUUUUAUUUGGGGGUUCUUUUUCCUUUCUGGUAAACCAUCAUUGCCUUCUGCCUAGAAUGAACGCUCCCAUUUUAUUGGGUUUAAAUAUAAUGUCAGAGCACUGAGUUCAUGGACAUUGCAGAAGAAAGAAACUUGCAGCUUUGCAUAAUCUCUAUAUAGCAACAACCCCUCCUGCCUGAAGAGCACACAGUACCUCAGUGUUUGGCAGCUGCAGUGCUAGGAGUUGGCCCUUAGCUUGCUGCGAGCACAAGAAGUCUUCCAGAGCCUGGAUUGCUUCUGUGUUGGGAAGAGAAUCAAAUCUCAGAGUUGUGAGGAUUGUAUGCUGUGCAAAUGUGGCAGCACUGUGUAAACUGCAGAACUAUUGACAUAUUGAUAGGCAAUUACUAAUGCAAUAAUUGAGUGCCCAUACUGUCUGGCCUUUUGAGAGGAAGAUUUUCCUUCAGGACUUUCUAUCUCUGGAAAGAGCAAGUGAAUAAAUUCAUAUCCAAAAUAAA